Molecule: ribosomal RNA, 468 nt
Filed under: uncultured bacterium
Lineage: Bacteria
Description: partial 16S ribosomal RNA
Rfam family: Bacterial small subunit ribosomal RNA
Source: RNAcentral
GACGAACGCUGGCGGCGUGCUUAACACAUGCAAGUCGAACGGAAAGGCCCUGCUUUUGUGGGGUGCUCGAGUGGCGAACGGGUGAGUAACACGUGAGUAACCUGCCCUUGACUUUGGGAUAACUUCAGGAAACUGGGGCUACUACCGGAUAGUAGCGCCUGCUGCAUGGUGGGGGUUGGAAAGUUUCGGCGGUUGGGGAUGGACUCGCGGCUUAUCAGCUUGUUGGUGGGGUAGUGGCUUACCAAGGCUUUGACGGGUAGCCGGCCUGAGAGGGUGACCGGCCACAUUGGGACUGAGAUACGGCCCAGACUCCUACGGGAGGCAGCAGUGGGGAAUAUUGCACAAUGGGCGGAAGCCUGAUGCAGCAACGCCGCGUGCGGGAUGACGGCCUUGGGGUUGUAAACCGCUUUAGCCUGUGACGAAGUGUGAGUGACGGUAAUGGGUAAAGAAGCACCGGCUAACUACGUG